RNAcentral lists this ribosomal RNA (498 nucleotides) under Chondrodactylus angulifer. RNAcentral's name for it is "partial 16S ribosomal RNA". The record is from RNAcentral. Lineage: Eukaryota; Metazoa; Chordata; Lepidosauria; Squamata; Gekkonidae.
CGUAGGACAUUAAUCGUUGAACAAACGAACAUUGGUAGCGGCUUCGCCACCGGGGUGUCCUGAUCCAACAUCGAGGUCGUAAGCCCCACUUGUCGAUAUGGACUCUAAAAGGGGAUGGCGCUGUUAUCCCUGGGGUAACUUGGUUCGAUUAUCAGCUAUGCUGGGUCAAUCAGGGGUUGUUUGGCAUGUGUGCCUUGGUUCUGCGGUUAGCCCUGGUGCGUGGAGGCUCUUUUUUCCUCCGCAGUCGCCCCAACUUAAGGCCAGGGACUAUUCUACUGGGUGUGAAGGAUUAAUACUUGUGUAGUUAGUGGUUGACCUAAAGUUCCACAGGGUCUUCUCGUCUUAUGGGAUUAUUUCAGCUUUUGUACUGAAAGAUCAGUUUCAUUGACCAGAUGUAGGAGACAGUCGGGCCCUCAUGUGGCCGUUCAUACGAGUCUUUAUUUGGAAGACAAGUGAUUACGCUACCUUUGCACGGUUAUGAUACCGCGGCCGUUAAAU